GACGAACGCUGGCGGCGUGCUUAACACAUGCAAGUCGAACGGAAAGGCCCUUCGGGGUACUCGAGUGGCGAACGGGUGAGUAACACGUGGGUGAUCUGCCCUGCACUUUGGGAUAAGCCUGGGAAACUGGGUCUAAUACCGAAUAGGACCACGCGCUUCAUGGUGUGUGGUGGAAAGCUUUUGCGGUGUGGGAUGGGCCCGCGGCCUAUCAGCUUGUUGGUGGGGUAAUGGCCUACCAAGGCGACGACGGGUAGCCGGCCUGAGAGGGUGACCGGCCACACUGGGACUGAGAUACGGCCCAGACUCCUACGGGAGGCAGCAGUGGGGAAUAUUGCACAAUGGGCGCAAGCCUGAUGCAGCGACGCCGCGUGAGGGAUGACGGCCUUCGGGUUGUAAACCUCUUUCAAUAGGGACGAAGCGCAAGUGACGGUACCUAUAGAAGAAGCACCGGCCAACUACGCG
This 462-nucleotide ribosomal RNA is filed under the name uncultured bacterium. Its description in RNAcentral is "partial 16S ribosomal RNA". It matches the Rfam family "Bacterial small subunit ribosomal RNA", at positions 28 to 507 of the family's 1533-position model. The record is from RNAcentral.